UAGGGAAUCUUCUUGCAAUGGGCGAAAGCCUGACGGAGCAACGCCGCGUGAGUGAAGAAGGAUUUCGGUUCGUAAAGCUCUGUUGUUAGGGAAGAAUGAUUGUAUAGUAACUAUAUACAGUAGAGACGGUACCUAACCAGAAAGCCACGGCUAACUACGUGCCAGCAGCCGCGGUAAUACGUAGGUGGCAAGCGUUGUCCGGAAUUAUUGGGCGUAAAGCGCGCGCAGGUGGUUUAAUAAGUCUGAUGUGAAAGCCCACGGCUCAACCGUGGAGGGUCAUUGGAAACUGUUAAACUUGAGUGCAGGAGAGAAAAGUGGAAUUCCUAGUGUAGCGGUGAAAUGCGUAGAGAUUAGGAGGAACACCAGUGGCGAAGGCGGCUUUUUGGCCUGUAACUGACACUGAGGCGCGAAAGCGUGGGGAGCAAACAGGAUUAGAUACCCUGGUAGUCCACGCCGUAAACGAUGAGUGCUAAGUGUUGGUCUCAUAAGAGAUCAGUGCUGCAGCUAACGCAUUAAGCACUCCGCCUGGGGAGUACGACCGCAAGGUUG
RNAcentral lists this ribosomal RNA (549 nucleotides) under uncultured bacterium. Its description in RNAcentral is "bacterial SSU rRNA". It matches the Rfam family "Bacterial small subunit ribosomal RNA", at positions 355 to 896 of the family's 1533-position model. The record is from RNAcentral.